Molecule: ribosomal RNA, 380 nt
Filed under: uncultured eukaryote
Lineage: Eukaryota
Description: partial 18S ribosomal RNA
Rfam family: Eukaryotic small subunit ribosomal RNA
Source: RNAcentral
CAAUAGCGUAUAUUAAAGUUGUUGCGGUUAAAAUGCUCGUAGUUGGAUUUCUGCUGAGGACGACCGGUCCGCCCUCUGGGUGAGUAUCUGGCUCGGCCUGGGCAUCUUCUUGGAGAACGUAGCUGCACUUGACUGUGUGGUGCGGUAUCCAAGACCUUUACUUUGAGGAAAUUAGAGUGUUUCAAGCAGGCACACGCCUUGAAUACAUUAGCAUGGAAUAAUAAGAUAGGACCUUGGUUCUAUUUUGUUGGUUUCUAGAGCUGAGGUAAUGAUUAAUAGGGAUAGUUGGGGGCAUUCGUAUUUAACUGUCAGAGGUGAAAUUCUUGAAUUUGUUAAAGACGGACUACUGCGAAAGCAUUUGCCAAGGAUGUUUUCAUUGA